Molecule: ribosomal RNA, 459 nt
Filed under: uncultured Bacillus sp.
Lineage: Bacteria; Bacillati; Bacillota; Bacilli; Caryophanales; Bacillaceae
Description: partial 16S ribosomal RNA
Rfam family: Bacterial small subunit ribosomal RNA
Source: RNAcentral
ACGGGAGGCAGCAGUAGGGAAUCUUCCGCAAUGGACGAAAGUCUGACGGAGCAACGCCGCGUGAGCGAAGAAGGUCUUCGGAUCGUAAAGCUCUGUUGUUAGGGAAGAACAAGUACCGGAGUAACUGUCGGUACCUUGACGGUACCUAACCAGAAAGCCACGGCUAACUACGUGCCAGCAGCCGCGGUAAUACGUAGGUGGCAAGCGUUGUCCGGAAUCAUUGGGCGUAAAGCGCGCGCAGGCGGUCCUUUAAGUCUGAUGUGAAAUCUUGCGGCUCAACCGUAAGCGGUCAUUGGAAACUGGGGGACUUGAGUGCAGGAGAGGAAAGCGGAAUUCCAUGUGUAGCGGUGAAAUGCGUAGAGAUAUGGAGGAACACCAGUGGCGAAGGCGGCUUUCUGGCCUGUAACUGACGCUGAGGCGCGAAAGCGUGGGGAGCAAACAGGAUUAGAUACCCUGGUA